RNAcentral lists this long non-coding RNA (7140 nucleotides) under Lactuca sativa (garden lettuce). RNAcentral describes it as "long non-coding RNA (LSAT_LNC009976)". Lineage: Eukaryota; Viridiplantae; Streptophyta; Magnoliopsida; Asterales; Asteraceae. The record is from RNAcentral.
UGUUGGGUUUUGAGCAUUCUAACACUCCUAAGUGUACAUGCAACCCUAAAUACCUUGGAUCUAUGUUUUCUCUAUUAUACAUGCAAAUAAGAACUUCCAAGGUAUUAUCCUAAUCUAGCAUACAAAACACUAACUAUAGCAAGAUAGAAUACAUACCUUUUUAUGUAGAAAGUCCUCAUGAAGCUUGAGUGCCUAGUGCCCCAAGUGUGACACCUCAAAUGGAAUCACAAUCAUCAAAACACUUGGAAUAGCUUGAGAGAAUUCUACACUUCAUGAAACCGGCUAGCCCUUUCACUUCACACACUAGUGGCCGAUUUGGUCAAGAAUAAGAUGCUUAUAUAGUUAGGGUUACACCAUGUAAACCCUAAUUGACAUGGCCUUUCAUUUCCAUGAUCCAUGGGUACAAAUACACCAUGGAGCAUCCAUGGACCAUCCUAUGGGUUUUAGCCCAACUUGAUUAUCCAUGGAGCAUUAGCCCACUAUACAAGUAUGGAUGAUUUACACAAUCAACCCAUAUAUUUAAUUAGUCUUCUUUUGAUCACUUAAUUAAUCCUAGAUUAAUUCUUGAUCAAUACUAAUUAAAUAAUCUCAUUAUUCUUAUUAUUAAUAUACUAGAACUUAUAAUAUAUUAAUAACCAUAAGUGUCUUAUUUCUCUCAUUAUAGUCUAUCCAAGUGCAUGAUGGUAUGCAACCCAAAUGGACCAUGCCGGGUCGGGUCAAGUCUUACCAAUUAUAGUUAUGGACUUAGACAUUAAUCCAACAGUCUCCCACUUGGAUAAGUCUAAAACUAUUAUUGCGUAUGACUUCAGGAACCAACUGGCAAUCGUAGCUCUCAAAAGCUUCUGUCGAACUCUGACCUUGUAGAUGAACUCUGACCUUUGUCAGUGACUUGUCCAUUAGAUAAGGGAUCAUAUAUUCCUCCAUUCUAGAUAUCAUAUGGACUGAGACAUGGAUUAUAAUCAUUCUCUCUGUCCAUUUGUUGUUUCCCGAUUUCCGAUUUAUGACGACUGACUAAUUGAACAAAUCAAAUCAGUCCUGGCCCGGCCGAGCACUUCCAUUUGUCAUCAUCAAAUCAUCGAGGGGCCCACAGAUAUCGCUUUUAUCCCGAAGGUAAAAGGAAUGGAUAAACUUCGACUCAUAUGGCUUGUUCUACUACUUGUUGAAUCAUACACAAAGGCACGUUUUAUAGCACCGAGUUACCAAAUGCGUUUUCGUGCAAUCAAUGUACUAUCAACUCAUAGUAACAACUCAUAUCUCUAGGUUUGAAGAAUAUAAGAUAUUAUCGUCUCAUGAUCACUCGUGAUAAAAUCCAUGAAGUGAUUCCAAUGAGCGCGGGUUGAAUCCAAUACUCAGAACUUAUGAGCACUCAUGAGUGUUGUAGCCCUUUGUCCAACACCUUAGACCUCUACAAGCCAACCCAUGACAGUCUUAAUUCAUAUCUACUUCCAACAUAUGACCGACUGUGGAUGGUUUGAAUAACUUAGUCAUUCCGGAAGAAUAACCUAGUUUAUUCGGGAAGUCAAAACAUGCAAAGUGAAACACAAUAAUAAUUGAAUCCAAUAUGGUAUCAACCCUUUGAACAUAAAUAAAACACCUUUUAUUUAUCACCAUAUGAUUACACAUUAUUCAUUGUAUACUGUUUCAGCUAUCAACUUUAUUCUUGAAUUUAAAACAAUAGUUGUCCCAUGCUCCAAGCAUGUACACUAUGUUUUCUUAAACACUAGUCAUGCCACACACCAAGUAUGCAUACUAUGUUUGUCUAUGAUCUUUACUUUGUGAACUAGAUCAAUUGAACAUAACUUCAAUGAUUCUCUUUUCACACUCCCAAAUCCUUACUGCAAAUGCAAGAAUUCCAAAUUCAUGCCAUUUACUGAAAUCUGUUAGAUUCUAAACUUAUAUGCAUUGAUCCUCUUGUAAUGAUUAUGCACAAAGUCAGAAAGACUUGACAACAAUCAUUACAGAGUAUUCCAAAGGAGAUCAGCUCCUUGGAAACAUCCUUCUUGCAUUAAGUUUCCUAAUCUUAAACAGAUUGAAAAUUCUAACUUUGAAACAUUUCCAGAUUCCAUUUUGACUAUCACUUCUGAACAAGAGUUGCCUCCUUACAGAUUAUGUCAAUAUGGUCCUUCCAGAAUUAUCACUAUACUUCCAACUGUCCUUGAGCAACCAAUCUUUGGUAAACCUUAGAUUGUCCUCGACAAUUGUUUAAUCCUUUUAGUCAUAUCCAGUUCUAAACCUUUUCCCUUCUUAAUGCCCCAGGCAUUUGGAAAAUUUUAGAACGGAUGAAUAUAGCACAUGUAAUCGAUCCUAUAUCCGAAGCAUAUGGGACACGAUUCAUGAUGUCUCACAUAAAGACUAAACCAGUCUUUUGCUAUAACAUUUCCAUUUCAAUUUGCCAAGUUCUCAUAAUUCAGAUUAUGAAAAGGGAUGCCGUAAUCAUAAUCGAAUUUUAGAACGCAAAUAAUGGACCCAUAUACAGAAUUUCCUUAUGUUGAGCCAUUCCAACAUGAAAUUCAUAUAUAUCCUUGACUAAAUGAUUAAAACCUCACGAUCUAAGCUUAUAGAUUUGAGAUGAAGUAUAAUUUCCUCUCCCUUAAUUAUAGCAAAACAACUUUUUCCCAAUUGAAACUUUUGUUUUCUAUAAUUAACAUUGCUAACUUGCAAUACUUAUCAUAAUUAUCAUGCUCCCACUAACAUGAUGAUUAUUAGCAUAACACUUAUGCUCCCACUAGCUUUGACAUGUACUCAGAAAUCAGCUGGACUUCUAGAAAUCAAUACUUCAUUGACUUUCUUACCAAAGUUCAGAUUUCUGAUGCUAGAUUGUUUUGAUAAAACUUUAUCAAAAUCAUACACCUUCCCUUAGAUAGCACACUUGUGUAUCUAAACAAUUAUGAAGAGGGAUGCCGUAAUCAUAAUGUUUAGACCUUUUUGCCACUUCUCACAAGUCCAAAUUAGUGUGCCGGUUAACCACACGCGCUCCACUAACGACUUUGAGAAUGCAAAUAUCACAAUUGCUAUCUAGCUAAAAUCUACUUAGUGAAAGUGUUUCCUCACCAUCAUUUUCAUGAAUCGGAGAGAAACCUUAUGACACUUAGAUUUAAUGGUGUAUGUGUUCUUAUCCAUGUGAAUUGUCAAAAUCAUAGUCACAAGACAAGGAUAAUGACAAAUCCAAACUCAUAUGGACUGAACUCAAUCUUAAUUUCUUGCCACCUGGCAGCUCAAGGGCCUACCAUUGCUUCCAAGUUGUUGUGCAACAAAUUGAGAACUCUAAGAACUCAUAUGCAAAGCCAACUUUAACUGGAAUGGGCACAGAAUAUGUCAACACGAUAGGUUAUGAACCUCAAGUCGUGUGCUAGUGAAGAACUUCAGGUUUUAUUCUUGAUUAGUUCUUGAGACUUUCAAGACCUUUAAGACUCCCACUGUCCUCUUGACAUAUAAGACUCCCUUGUCAAACAUCCAAGAGAUAGUGCGGAUUCUAAUCAAGAAAAACACUUUACCCAAUUGGCCUAAGUUGGUCUUUGUUUUAUCCAAAACAUCACAACUUACCAAUUUCAAAUGUACAAGAGUAGAAAACUUUUACUCUUACAUUUGACAAGUGUUUUAAACCUUCUUUAAGACAUGUCACUCAAAUGACAAUCUUGGAGUAUGACUCUAAGACUUGUAUUGGAACGAAGUAUGACUCAUCUUCUUGAUUUAACCAUUUCAACAAUUCAAGUUCCUCUUCUUAGUCAUAAGAAUGCACUAAGAUUUCCUUAGAGAACUAAUUUUGAUAUGGUUUCUUAAUCAUUAAGAUGAUCACAAAACUGAUACUAAAGUACUCUCCCAUCUUUUCAGAUUUGAGAAACUUUUAUCCUUCUGCCUUAUUUGAUUCUUCUUAUCGAUCUUUAGUGGUGGACUUAAUCAGUGCACAAGAAUGUGUACUCGAUCCCUAAGUCCUUUACUUGACUCACACAUCCAUGUGAACAAGUAAUUAGUCUUAAUUUUCCAAAACUUGAAAGUUCUCAUUCAUCAUGCUAUACAACUUGCAUGAUUCCAAGUUCCGGUCCAAUUGAAACUUGGGUGAUGAGAAUCUUUCCUUAUUUGGUAAAUUUAGACAUUACCACAAAUGAAAGAAUCAAUUUCAUACUUCCACUCUUGCUACUAAUGGAAUCUUAUAAGCAACAAAAAUUUCCACAGAUGCCAUUGUAAGGAUAUUUUAAAAUAAAUAAAAUCAAAAAUUUCCUUUUAUUUUAAAACUUUGCGGAAAAACUAUCCUUACAAUCCAUAUGAAAACUUGUUGUUAUCUAUUCCUAAGCAAUAUCUCAUAACUCCUAAGAAGUAGCUCAAGAAUCCGAUUUUUCAAACUAUGCGAUAGAAAUCCAUCUAUGCGAUCAGAUUCAGCAUAUUCUUCCUUUAAGUUUCUUCACUUUCCUUUGAUUCUUAAACCAUCACCAUGCGACCCGGUCACAUCAUGUAUCAAGAAUCUCAGAAUAGAAACUUAACAGAGUUAGAUAGUGGAUUUUACCUGAAGUAGAGUCAAACUUAUUGACUUUAACAUCCUUAGGUAAAUUUGGCAGCUUCGCAACCAAUGCCCUUUCUUUGGCAAUACAAACAUAUGGACCCUUUGAUAAUGGUACACAGGACUAUCACAGACUUAGCUUUUCUCUUUACCAUUUGGUCAACCGAGUUGACUAUAGCCGAUCCCUUUCCAUUGGGAAGAGAAUGCUUUACUGGAUAUCCAAUGUCAUCAUUGUCAAUGUCCAUAAAGUUUUAGGAAGUUGAUCUUAACAAAUAGAUAAGAUCAUUAAGGGUCUUGUCAUAGUCUUUUUCAUAGGUGUUCCAAAAGAACUCACUAUGUGACUUAGAAAGUAGUUGAACCACCAACUUUCUCAAGACUUUGACACCCAACUCUCCCGGCUUGUCAAUAUGUGACUACAUCUCCAAGAUGUGACCACACCUAGACCUUGCCUUGCCAAAAGGGCCUGAGUGACCUUAAACUUUUCAAGAACUUGUGGGUUAGGGAGAAUAAUUUGAAGAGGUGAAGAAGUAUGAUAUCCAUGGGACAUCAUCUUCAUUAGGAAACCUUGUUUCAAGAGAUUUGGGAAGAUCAUAGGUGUCUAAACCAGACAUCUUUUGGGAGAUAUUCAAGAUAGUUGAUUUAAAGUCCUUAAUAUGACACCCAAUAUGAAAUAUUAAGGCUAGGACCCAACAAACUAUUUUAUAACUUAGAAGAGGUAUGCCGUAAUCCAAGCUAUAAAAUAUUUGAAGGUAGGUGAAUGACGAUUCACCAAUUUCCACCAAGAUAAACGAAAUGUAUUAUUAGGUUUUAAUUGGUUUUGAAACUCCUAGAUCUUUGAGAUUCAUUGAACUUUUCAAAGGCAUGUUUCAAUCUCGAGUGUGCCCUUCAGGUUUUGUGACUGGGAUGCCGAGGAUCACAAAACAAGGUGUGAAGUAACCAUGCAAAUCACUUGGUACCCUUAAUAAAUUACCCCUCAAUCGAUGUGCCGGUUAACCACACACGCUCCAUCGAUACUAUGAUAAAUAUUAAGUCACCCUUUACCUACCUUGUUAAGUCCAAGUUAGUGUGCCGGUUAACCACACACGCUCCACUAACGACUUAGACAAAGUGUAAAGUGUAAUUUCAUGGAUUAGCACCUUAUUCACAUUUUUCCUAAGUAACUAAGAUUGGGUAUUAUUAAGAGUUUAGUUACUUAGUAUUAUCAUUAAUACUUUUAAUGAAGGGAGAAUUCUAGUCCUGUCAAACCCGUUCGGCUAACGACCCUCCACCAGUCAAGCAAGCGGUGGGUGAGAGUGGACACCCAUUAAGUUGCCAUUUUAUAGGCAACAACCUUAUACCCACCUUAUAGACCGGCUUCGUGAAUGAGGCGUACUAGCGGUAAGACUGACUUUACUCUUAUACAUAUAUAUAUUAUUAACUUAUAAUAUUAUAAAGUAUAAGGGUUGAAUUUUAACUUUUAAAAUUCUAAGGGCUAACUUGGAAUUAAAGUAUUCAUAAGUGAAAACUUUACAAAUUCCAAAACUUGAGGGCAAGUUUUGAAACUAUUCAAAACUAAUUAAUUCCAUAACUUAUGUGUUUAAAGUAGUUUUAAUCCAAAAACUCUUCAAGUUCCAUAACUUGAGGACAAGUUAUGGAAGACUUUAAACUAAUAAAAGAAUUAACUUUUCUUUAUUUUAUAACUUAUGGAAUUAAUUAAGGUUACACUUUUUUUUUUUUUAUUUUAUUUUAUUAAAUGAAGAGACUCUUGGUCCUCCAUAACUUGAGGACAAGUUAUGGAGUCAUAAAACCAUUUAAUUAGAACUAGACUCUUCAUUUUUGUAACCUUUGCCAAUUUUUAUGAGUUUUAUGAUUCUUAAAUGUGACUUUUCAUAUAACUUGAGGACAAGUUACAAAAACACAUUUUAGAAUCAAUUCUUAGAUUAAUUUGGAUUAAAACCAACUAUCACAUAAUUUUAUUCAUUAAUCUAAAUUCACUCAUAAAACAAGGUAACACAAAAAACUUUUGGUGAUCCAUAACUUAUUCUUAAGUUAUGGAAUCCUUUAAAACAUUAACACCAAAUUUUGUAACUCCAAAAAAACUUUGAAUCAAUUUUUUUUUUAAAACCUUUUCAUAUCCAUAACUUAUGGAGGUUUCAAAAAAUAAAACUCUUUAGAUCAAACUUUUAAAACUAAUAAAAUAAUCAUAUUAUUUUAUCUUUUAUUAAAUUUGACCUAAUUCAACUCAUAAAGCAAAUUAUUCAAAUUUUACAAAUAAUUAGUUUUUCACAAGAACAAGUAAUUAUCUUAAAAUUUGACAAACUUCAUGUUUUUUUUUUUUUUUUUUUUCAACUUUGAAAAUAAAAUAUUUGCAUCAAUAUAACAGAAAACAACCCGUGGCUCUGAUACCACUGUUGGGUUUUGAGCAUUCUAACACUUCCUAAGUGUACAUGCAACCCUAAAUACCUUGGAUCUAUGUUUUCUCUAUUAUACAUGCAAAUAAGAACUUCCAAGGUAUUAUCCUAAUCUAGCAUACAAAACACUAACUAUAGCAAGAUAGAAUACAUACCUUUUUAUGUAGAAAGUCUUCAUGAAGCUUGAGUGCCUAGUGCCCCAAGUGUGACACCUCAAAUGGAAUCACAAUCAUCAAAACACUUGGAAUAGCUUGA